This is a long non-coding RNA of Brassica rapa (field mustard), 1722 nucleotides long. RefSeq lists it as uncharacterized. Lineage: Eukaryota; Viridiplantae; Streptophyta; Magnoliopsida; Brassicales; Brassicaceae. The record is from RefSeq and is a predicted model, not a curated record.
AUGAUGGGCUUUAUUCGUUUGUUGUAUGUUUAGGCUGUGCGUUUGUUCAUGUAUCAGGGCCGGAAAGAUAGUGUUCACCCUCUAAACCUAAUUCCGCUCAAACAGAAGAUCACGGGUCGUCUCUUUCUCUUGCUGCGACUGUAGACGUCUGAGCUUCCUUUCUCCAUCUGAAACGGCCCGAUUUGUGAUUCAGUGAUUAAUCAUAUUAAUUGCAUCACCCACUAUAAGGUCUUCAAUGCGUUGUUCAUCUCCAAGUCGGUGUGAAAUCUGUAUAAAUAUUCCGACAGGUGCUCCUCCGUCGUCGAGGCUAGGCUGCUGCGGUUCUGGGAGAGGAGAGAGAUGAAAAGGCCGGUGAUUGAUUCCCUUAUGGUCAUAAAAGAUGCGCUAGGGUCAUUCUGAAAUCUGGUAAGAUUCACUGUCUUUCUUAUGAUUAUGAGCUAGAGUAGUUUAAAAGAUCGGGUAUUAAGGUUCGAAAUAAGUGUUUGAAUGUAGAGCUCAUAUCUUGAGUAUUGAUUUGUGAUCAUGUGAUCUCUAUUCUACAGUGACCACAUAAACAUGAUUCGUUUCUUUGUCGCACCAACUCAUGUGCUUUGUUCCUUACAUUGAUGGGCUUAGUCCUUGACUUUAAUUAUCUCACCUUGAAUCUUUUCCUCUGCUAUGCCUAAUGGUUUUUUUGGGUUGUUUCACCUUGAGUCUUUUCCUCUUGCAUUGCUUUCCAUGAUGAAGAGUGGGGAGUUCCUGUCCAUGACAACAAUUAUUAAGCCUCUCUGGUGUUCUUUCCGAACUAUCCUGGAAAUAUAUUCUUUUCAAAAGACAAUCAUUCAGGGAAAUUUUCAUGGAAUUUGAUUCCUUUCCUACAUCUUCACAAAAAAAAGAGAACAUCCCCUGAGUUGCAACCACUCCAUUACUAUCCAUGAUCCAAGGCUUAAUGGAAAAAUAACACUCCGCCAGACUUGAAAACGGUUUCAGUCAACCAGGUUAAAGUACUUGACUGCUUGUGAUAGACUUAUCAAGUUAAGAAUUAAUCUGGUUAAACACAGGUAUAGAGUUGCACAUUCCCAUCUUUGGCUUCCCAUAUGAGAAGAAAUUUGGGAACAUCGUCUGGAAAUCAUAGAAUUCUUUCUUUACCUUCACCUAAAACAAACAGAGAUGAUAGGAGUGUUCAGAAAAAUAUCCAGAUUAAUACAGAGUUAGCCAGAAGACUAUGAACGCACAUGAGGCAGAAGCAGCUGCAAAACAGGCAGUUUCACAGGUAGAAGCUGCCAUGACAGCGGCUGAAGAAGCUGCAAAGGAAGCAGAUGCAGCAGAAGCUGCUCAAGCUUAUGCCUAAGAAGCUUCAAAGACAUUGAAAGGAAAAAAACAUCUGCAAAGUGGUAAACACACUUUUCUUAUAUCACACAACACAUGAUAAAGAGAAUACUUUAUCAUGGUCGUAUUGAAAAUUUGAUUAAACAGAUGGUUUGUAAGUGAGGUGACAUAGAAGAAGAAGCUAAAUGUGUUGCAGGUGACGAGAGAGUGAUGCACAAAAGUAGUGUGUAUGUGUUGAUGAAUUUCGACUUAGAACAUUUUUUGUUGUAAAGAAGAAGCUAAAUGUGUUGCAGGUGACGAGAGAGUGAUGCACAAAAGUAGUGUGUAUGUGUUGAUGACUUUCGACUUAGAACUUUUUUUUGUUGUAAAGCAGUAAUUUUAGAUUCACAGCCAUUUUAUUAUUGCUCACAUUUA